GACGAACGCUGGCGGCGUGCUUAACACAUGCAAGUCGAACGGUAAGGCCCUUCGGGGUACACGAGUGGCGAACGGGUGAGUAACACGUGGGUGAUCUGCCCUGCACUUCGGGAUAAGCCUGGGAAACUGGGUCUAAUACCGGAUAGGACCCUGGGAUGCAUGUCCUGGGGUGGAAAGCUUUUGCGGUGUGGGAUGGGCCCGCGGCCUAUCAGCUUGUUGGUGGGGUGAUGGCCUACCAAGGCGACGACGGGUAGCCGGCCUGAGAGGGUGACCGGCCACACUGGGACUGAGAUACGGCCCAGACUCCUACGGGAGGCAGCAGUGGGGAAUAUUGCUCAAUGGGCGCAAGCCCGAUGCAGCGACGCCGCGUGAGGGAUGACGGCCUUCGGGUUGUAAACCUCUUUCAGCACCGACGAAGCGCAAGUGACGGUAGGUGCAGAAGAAGGACCGGCCAACUACGUGCCAGCCGCCGCGGUAA
This 478-nucleotide ribosomal RNA is filed under the name uncultured bacterium. RNAcentral describes it as "partial 16S ribosomal RNA". It matches the Rfam family "Bacterial small subunit ribosomal RNA", at positions 28 to 523 of the family's 1533-position model. The record is from RNAcentral.